RNAcentral lists this small nuclear RNA (239 nucleotides) under Equus asinus (donkey). Its description in RNAcentral is "7SK RNA". It matches the Rfam family "7SK RNA". Rfam says of the family: 7SK was discovered as an abundant small nuclear RNA in the mid-70s but a possible function has only recently been suggested. Two independent studies have found that 7SK RNA binds the CDK9/cyclin T complex (known as elongation factor P-TEFb). Lineage: Eukaryota; Metazoa; Chordata; Mammalia; Perissodactyla; Equidae. The record is from Rfam by way of RNAcentral.
GGAUGACCUUGCUGUAUGGUCAGUCACUCCAUUCAUCACCAGGAUUGAGUUGGCUGAUCUAGCUGACAUAGCAGGUAUUUCAUCCUUGGGCAUCUCUUCCUGAGCUGUGUGCACUGUCAAGGAGGACACACUUCCCAGUCAGCUAUGGGUAUCAUUUUUAACCAAGAAGAAGCCUGAUUAACUAUAUACUUUCUGUUCAAGUAACAAAUUAGUCUCAUCAAAUAGUAUUCUUCCUCAUU